This is a long non-coding RNA of Gossypium arboreum, 496 nucleotides long. RefSeq lists it as uncharacterized. The transcript is spliced from 2 exons. Lineage: Eukaryota; Viridiplantae; Streptophyta; Magnoliopsida; Malvales; Malvaceae. The record is from RefSeq and is a predicted model, not a curated record.
ACACUAGUGCAAAGGGGAAGGACCAGUAGCAAAAAUUUCCCUUACAAAGCCCAAAAGCAUGGAUUCCAUCCCACCCAAACGGCAUAAGUAAAAAAGGAAAAACUAAAACUUCAUUUGGCAGACUUUCCUUCUGAAAAAAAAAUGGGUUUCAAAUCUUUCUUUUAAAAUUCUUUAACUUCUCCCCUCCCCCUCUGUCAAUCCAUGGAUUUCAUCGGCGCAUGCAGCACCUCCGUCCGUCAAAUGAAAAAUUUGUAGGUUCAUGGGCGUGUACGUCUCCUACGGAGGUGGAGUGACGCACGGUGCGGAGAUUCGCGCGAUGUGCGGUGCCUGGGGACUGCUUCGGUUGCAAACGGCAGCUCCUUGGUUUUUUGUUGAAGUGUGUCUGUGUUUUGGGCCAUUUGGGCCGUGUUUGCAAAUAGGUAUUUAGGUUUGGGUCUGUUUUUGUUGGGUUUUGGUUUCUAGAGGUUUGGGCUGGGCAAAUUUUGGGCCCUACAUA